GACGAACGCUGGCGGCGUGCUUAACACAUGCAAGUCGAACGGAAAGGCCCUGCUUUUGUGGGGUGCUCGAGUGGCGAACGGGUGUGUAACACGCGAGUAACCCGCCCUUGACUUUGGGAUAACUUCAGGAAACUGGGGCUAAUAUCGGAUAGGAGCUCCUGCUGCAUGGUGGGGGUUGGAAAGUUUCGGCGGUUGGGGAUGGACUGGCGGCUUAUCAGCUUGUUGGUGGGGUAGUGGCUUACCAAGGCUUUGACGGGUAGCCGGCCUGAGAGGGUGACCGGCCACAUGGGGACUAAGAGACGGCCCAGACUCCUACGGGAGGCAGCAGUGGAGAAUAUUGCACAGUGGGCGGAAGCCUGAUGCAGCGACGCCGGGUGCGGGAUGACGGCCUUCGGGUUGUAAACCGCUUUCGCCGGUGACGAAGCGUGAGUGACGGUAAUGGGUAAAGAAGCACCGGCUAACUACGUG
RNAcentral lists this ribosomal RNA (468 nucleotides) under uncultured bacterium. RNAcentral describes it as "partial 16S ribosomal RNA". It matches the Rfam family "Bacterial small subunit ribosomal RNA", at positions 28 to 507 of the family's 1533-position model. The record is from RNAcentral.